AAAAAGAAAAAAGGAAAAAAAAAAGAAAUAAAUGUCCCCUUGACUGCAUUGCGGGACUGCUGCCCUCAGAUUGUCCUGGUCACUUGGUGAAAUGGCCAGUGGUGGAAGGGUAAAGGCAGUGCUGACCAUGAGACAACGCUGGUCCUACUGCUGUGAGGCGAAAGGGCACGGCCUGUGUAAAAAUAAAUGAAGAUCCUGAAGUAUUGCUUUUCAAGAUUGAAAAUUCAGAUUCAGCUGUCACCUGAAUUUGGUGGACAUACUUCUGAUUUUAAUACAAUUAGCUUUACAGUUUAAUCCUCCCCCCAAAAGGCAGACGUUUCAUGCAAAAGCAUAAGCAAGGAUCCAGCAGUUGUGUGGCUCCAUAAAAAGUCUUCCUGACAAGCAGCAGAAAGGCCAAGUUCCAGGGAUUGUGCAAGGGUGGCAAUUUUUUCUAGGAAGACAUUGUCUGCCUGCCAGCUUGAAACAUGUAAAUUGCUGGAAUUUGCAUCAAAAAUAUGACAGCUCUUCUCUGACAAAGGUAGGUAGUGAAACUAGAUUGGUAAAACUAAAUUUUUUUAACUAGAGCAUGGAGGUUUGGCUUAGAAAUUUUAUCGUUUUCACCUUUAGUUAUAAUAUGUCACUGAACAGAGUAAAGAGAGAAUUUUGUCAUUGACAUCAAUAAGAACUAUAGAGAAAAUGUUGUUUCUGGGACUCUGUAUUUUGCAUA
Cygnus olor (mute swan) is the source of this 706-nucleotide long non-coding RNA. RefSeq lists it as uncharacterized. The transcript is spliced from 3 exons. The record is from RefSeq and is a predicted model, not a curated record. Lineage: Eukaryota; Metazoa; Chordata; Aves; Anseriformes; Anatidae.